AUACGGGGGAUUCAAGCGUUAUCCGGACUUAUUGGGUUUAAAGGGUGCGUAGGCUGAUAAAUCAGUCAGCGGUGAAAUUUACGGGCUUAACUUGUAGUUUGCCGUUGAAACUAUUUAUCUAGAGAUAUUUCGGCGUAUGCGGAAUGUAUCAAGUAGCGGUGAAAUGCAUAGAUAUGCUACAGAACACCAAUCGCGAAGGCAGCAUACGAGGCAUCAUCUGACGCUGAUGCACGAAAGCGUGGGGAUCAAACAGGAUUAGAUACCCUGGUAGUCCACGCUGUAAACUAUGAUAACUCGCUGUCGGCGAUAUACAGUCGGUGGCCAAGCGAAAGCGAUAAGUUAUCCACCUGGGGAGUACGACCGCAAGGUUGAAACUCAAAUGAAUUGACGGGG
This 393-nucleotide ribosomal RNA is filed under the name uncultured bacterium. RNAcentral's name for it is "partial 16S ribosomal RNA". It matches the Rfam family "Bacterial small subunit ribosomal RNA", at positions 523 to 918 of the family's 1533-position model. The record is from RNAcentral.